Molecule: ribosomal RNA, 255 nt
Filed under: uncultured bacterium
Lineage: Bacteria
Description: partial 16S ribosomal RNA
Rfam family: Bacterial small subunit ribosomal RNA
Source: RNAcentral
UACGAAGGGGGCUAGCGUUGUUCGGAAUUACUGGGCGUAAAGCGCACGUAGGCGGAUAUUUAAGUCAGGGGUGAAAUCCCAGAGCUCAACUCUGGAACUGCCUUUGAUACUGGGUAUCUUGAGUAUGGAAGAGGUAAGUGGAAUUGCGAGUGUAGAGGUGAAAUUCGUAGAUAUUCGCAGGAACACCAGUGGCGAAGGCGGCUUACUGGUCCAUAACUGACGCUGAGGUGCGGAAAGCGUGGGGAGCAAACAGGG